This 1500-nucleotide ribosomal RNA is filed under the name uncultured Enterobacteriaceae bacterium. RNAcentral's name for it is "bacterial SSU rRNA". It matches the Rfam family "Bacterial small subunit ribosomal RNA". The record is from RNAcentral. Lineage: Bacteria; Pseudomonadati; Pseudomonadota; Gammaproteobacteria; Enterobacterales; Enterobacteriaceae.
AGAGUUUGAUCCUGGCUCAGAUUGAACGCUGGCGGCAGGCCUAACACAUGCAAGUCGAGCGGUAACACAGAGAGCUUGCUCUCGGGUGACGAGCGGCGGACGGGUGAGUAAUGUCUGGGAAACUGCCUGAUGGAGGGGGAUAACUACUGGAAACGGUAGCUAAUACCGCAUAACGUCGCAAGACCAAAGUGGGGGACCUUCGGGCCUCAUGCCAUCAGAUGUGCCCAGAUGGGAUUAGCUAGUAGGUGGGGUAAUGGCUCACCUAGGCGACGAUCCCUAGCUGGUCUGAGAGGAUGACCAGCCACACUGGAACUGAGACACGGUCCAGACUCCUACGGGAGGCAGCAGUGGGGAAUAUUGCACAAUGGGCGCAAGCCUGAUGCAGCCAUGCCGCGUGUAUGAAGAAGGCCUUCGGGUUGUAAAGUACUUUCAGCGAGGAGGAAGGCGUUAAGGUUAAUAACCUUGGCGAUUGACGUUACUCGCAGAAGAAGCACCGGCUAACUCCGUGCCAGCAGCCGCGGUAAUACGGAGGGUGCAAGCGUUAAUCGGAAUUACUGGGCGUAAAGCGCACGCAGGCGGUCUGUCAAGUCGGAUGUGAAAUCCCCGGGCUCAACCUGGGAACUGCAUUCGAAACUGGCAGGCUAGAGUCUUGUAGAGGGGGGGUAGAAUUCCAGGUGUAGCGGUGAAAUGCGUAGAGAUCUGGAGGAAUACCGGUGGCGAAGGCGGCCCCCCUGGACAAAGACUGACGCUCAGGUGCGAAAGCGUGGGGAGCAAACAGGAUUAGAUACCCUGGUAGUCCACGCCGUAAACGAUGUCGACUUGGAGGUUGUGCCCUUGAGGCGUGGCUUCCGGAGCUAACGCGUUAAGUCGACCGCCUGGGGAGUACGGCCGCAAGGUUAAAACUCAAAUGAAUUGACGGGGGCCCGCACAAGCGGUGGAGCAUGUGGUUUAAUUCGAUGCAACGCGGAGAACCUUACCUACUCUUGACAUCCAGAGAACUUAGCAGAGAUGCUUUGGUGCCUUCGGGAACUCUGAGACAGGUGCUGCAUGGCUGUCGUCAGCUCGUGUUGUGAAAUGUUGGGUUAAGUCCCGCAACGAGCGCAACCCUUAUCCUUUGUUGCCAGCGGUUAGGCCGGGAACUCAAAGGAGACUGCCAGUGAUAAACUGGAGGAAGGUGGGGAUGACGUCAAGUCAUCAUGGCCCUUACGAGUAGGGCUACACACGUGCUACAAUGGCAUAUACAAAGAGAAGCGACCUCGCGAGAGCAAGCGGACCUCAUAAAGUAUGUCGUAGUCCGGAUUGGAGUCUGCAACUCGACUCCAUGAAGUCGGAAUCGCUAGUAAUCGUAGAUCAGAAUGCUACGGUGAAUACGUUCCCGGGCCUUGUACACACCGCCCGUCACACCAUGGGAGUGGGUUGCAAAAGAAGUAGGUAGCUUAACCUUCGGGAGGGCGCUUACCACUUUGUGAUUCAUGACUGGGGUGAAGUCGUAACAAGGUA